GAGGCAUAUUGUAACAUCCCUCUAGCACCCUCUGGUGUCCUAUUCACUGCACGCCUUUUUGAGUUCAUUAUUUGCUGUUUUGAUAGCUAUUUGCAAAGGAGCUCUUUGGGAAACCACUAAUGUGUCUGCUGGGGAAUGCCUCGUCUAAGAAAACCAAAUACCUGGAUCUUACAACCUGACUGUGUGCUAAUUAUGCCCACACACAAGGUUUACUUCUCUUUGGGGAGCCAGAGGCGUCAUUGCACUUAUUAGAGUCACACAGCCUUAAUCACAAAUGCAGAAGGAAGAGGUUCCGGGUAACUGAACUGGCCAAAUGAUGUGAUCAAGUAUCAACUAAGUAUUUAAUGUACAUCGAGGAGCCAAGAGACAAUUAGAAACACAUAAUGCAAAUUUGGUUCAUGAAGUGUUGAUAAAGAAGAAGACGUGAAAAACAGCCAAGAGGAAACAACUAAAAAUCAGCAAAAAGCUGACUUUAAGGACUUUAAGUAACGGACUUUAAGGAUUACACAGGCAUGUAGUUAAAGUGCAAAUGAGAGCAAAUGUUUGUUCUAUCCAUGCUUCGUGCUGUGAGGAGGAAAUGUGAAAAAUAAAAAUGACUCUUCUUGGCUA
This is a long non-coding RNA of Neofelis nebulosa (Clouded leopard), 609 nucleotides long. RefSeq lists it as uncharacterized. The transcript is spliced from 3 exons. NCBI's taxonomy places the organism in Eukaryota, Metazoa, Chordata, Mammalia, Carnivora, Felidae. The record is from RefSeq and is a predicted model, not a curated record.